AUGCUGGGAUUACAGGUGUGAGCCACCGUGCCUGGCCCCAAAGAUGAUUGUCUUAUAAAAGCCUAUGUAACCCUUUUCAUUUUUUCUUUAAAAAAUGUCUUCCUUUACCUCCUGGAACACAUCCAUACUUAUUCCCAUUGUAAUGCCCGUUCCUGAAUAAACAUCAUUGUUUUUUUAGAGAGGGAGAGAGAGUCCAUUGGUGAGAGAGUCUCACCAAUCUCCUGUCCCCAGGGCACUUCCACCCCUGGGUAUUUGUACUGAUCAACCAGGUUACGCUUUCAGCAUUUGCAAACUCAGGAUGGAGAUUUUAGACCCUCUUCAACCUCCAGGUUUCCUCUUUGCAAAGGCCAGCAGCAGAAGCAAAAGAGAUGGAGCCCGGGUUAGCAUUUAUUUUUCUAUUUACCAGUCAUUUGGAAUUUGGACAUUUUCUGUCCUGUGGUUGUGGUGAGGGUGUGGGUUUUGUGUUGUUUUAUAUAUUCUUUGUUAUUUUUUAUUCUAGUUUUUGUUUUUGUUUUGGAAGGUAUUUUAGAGAAAUAAGAUUUCUGUGGUUACCAUGACCUGCUGUUACAGAUUACAUGGUACCCUCUCUUCAUAUGUUGAAGUCCUAGCCACCCCGCCGAACCUCAGAAUGUGACUGUAUUUGGAGAUAGGGUCUUUACAGAGGAAAUCAAGUUAAAAUGAAGUCAUUAGGGCAGGCCCUAAUCCGAUAUGAUCCUGUGUUCUUAGAAGAGGAAAUGUGGACUCAGGUGUGUAUGGAGGGAAGAUGUCUUGCAAGCCCAAGGAGAAGAUGGCCAUCUGAGCCCACGUCCUGGAACAGAGACUUCCCUCACAGCCUCAGAAAGAACCAGCCCUGCUGACGUCUUGAUCUCAGACCUCCAGCCUCCAGAACUGGGAGACGAUUCAGUCAGCAUCUACACAACACAGGGUUGAACUGUGCGGGUCCACUUCUAUGCAGAUUAUUUUCUUUUUUCUUUUUUGAGACAGAGUCUCGCCCGGUUGCUCAGGCUGAAGUGUAGUGGUGUGAUCUUGGCUUACUGCAGCUUCCACCUCCCAGGUGCAAGUGAUUCUCCUGCCUCAGCUUCCCAAGUAGCUGGGACUAUGGGUACUCGCCACCACACCUGGCUAAUUUUUGUAUUUUUAGUAGAGAUGGGGUUUCACCAUGUUGGUCAGGCUGGUCUUGAACUCCUGACCCCAAGUGAUCUGCCUGCCUUGGCCUCCCAGAUUGCUGGGAUUACAGGUGUGAGCCACCGUGCCCGGCCCUAUAUAACUCUUUGUGCAAGUUUUUACCCCUAAAAGAUAUCUGCCAUCUCAGCCAUGGAACAGACACUGUAAGAACAUGAAGGCUCAAGGGCAGGGCUGGCUACAUAAUUUGUGGGACCCAUUACAAAAUGAACAUGGAGAAAAAACUAGAAAAAAGUGUAGUACAAGGUACUAUAAUAGAUUUUUCCUUUGAAAACAGUUUAAUACUUAUAAAAUGUAAUAGAGGGAAAUAGUGACACGUGAGUAACAAAAUGGGCGUAUCAAUUGGUCUAUGCUAUUUUUGGUGUUAUAAUUUUACCUAAUAUAAUAAGCAGCAACACUUUGUUAGUGAGACGGGCUUUCACCAUGUUGGCCAGGCUGGUCUGGAACUCCUGACCUCAGGUGAUCCGCCUGCCUCAGCCUUCCAAAGUGCUGGGAUUACAGGUGUGAGCCUCUGCGCCCGGCUGUGAUGUCUUGAUUGAUCAUAGGAUUUUUCUGGCUAUUCUAGCUACUUCCAAUUCGCUUCAGCCAAUUUAGUUGAAGUUUUAUCACUUGUGACUUCAGAGUCCUGGUUAAUAUCCUGUUGCCCUCAGGACAUGCAGGAUGGAGGAAGGCACCAGGGAGCCGAGGGAAGUGAGCAGAGAGGCAGUCACUUCAGGGCCACCAGCAUAGCCCCCGUCACUGUCCACAGACACAGGCCCUUCCCCUUCUCAUGGUUGAGCAGGCUCCACCUCACUUCCGUGUAUGACUUCAUAGACCGUUAGGUUCCGUGGUACCCUGGAGUCCACAGCUGCUGAAUCUGAAGGGCCAUCAGAAGACUGGCUUCUCCAUGAUGGUUUAUGGACUAAGGCAAAGAUGAGCAGAGCCAUGGCCCUCUUCUUUGUUCUCUGCUGGAUCCAAGUAGAGAUGGGAUUUCAUCAUGUUGGCCAGGCUGGUCAUGAACUCCUGACCUCAAUGGAUCCUCCUGCCUCAGCUUCCUGAGUAGCUGGGACCACAGGUGCACACCACCACGCCCAGGUAAUUAAUUUUUAUUUUUUGUAGAGUCGGGGGUCUCCCUAUGUUUCCCAGGCUGGCCUCGAACUCCUGACCUCAAGUGAUCCUCCCACCUCAGCCUCCCCGAGUGCUGGGAUUAAAGACGUGAGCCACGGCACCUGGCCUGAAUUUUCCUCAAAUUCAAAAAAUCCUGAUGAAGGUUUGGCUAAAAUCUUUGGUGAGUUACCCCACUCCCUGUGGAACCUCAGGCUGGAUUUGAAGAGUUGCGUGCAUGGUCCUCAUUGUCUCCCAGGUAACCUGUUCCCGCUGCUGUGAAGGGAAGGCAGGUGCUCUUCCUUGAGGCUAGAAUCUGUCUACGUGUCACAGUCUCAGGAAAUUAAGCAAAACAGAUGAUAAACACCUCAAAAGGACCCUACUGAGCAUCAGUGGAGCAGAGCAGGGCCAUGUGGGACUGCGGCGUCAGAUGCCACCUCACACUAGCUGUGACACACCUGCCUCGCCAGUUUCUGCUCUGAGGCCCCAAAGCCGAGCUGAACCUCCUCCAGGGGUUCUCAGCCCUAACUGAGCAUGAAAACCCCUGGGGCAAUCCUCUUUUUAACAAUUGAGACAUUCCACACACACCCCACAUCAGAUUUUGGGGUGUGGGGAUAGACCUUCACAUUUGUAGUUUUCUAACCCUCCAGGGGACACUAGGCUGAGACUCAUUGGUCUCCACUCUGAACCUUCCACUGAACAUGUGAGAAAAACUAAGGCCCAGGGAAGUCUUUAGCAGAGAGCUGAGACGGAGAAAAGGGUUCUGAACCACAGCUGUCUGCUGAAGGAAGCUGUCCAAAGGCCAGUGAAGUCUCUCCUGAGGGUGCCUGGGCUGUGCAUCAGGAGUGAAGGUUGAGGGUCACCUUAGGUGUGAGAAGGAGCAACUGGGAGAGUGGCGCUGAUGCUUCCCCCCGGGUUAGGAGGCAUUUGGAUCACAGAGCGAUGCCUGUUCAUUCCUGCUUGCAAGGGAGCAGAUCUCUCGACACCCGAUGGGCCUCUAUUCCGUUCCGGCAGCUGUCCGUGUCAGGAGCGCUGGGCUUGCUCCUCCCCACGGGAGCCAUCACAGAGGCCUCGGGCAGUCUGCAUAGACAACUGCCUGGCAGGUGACCAGGAGGGGAUGCAUGAGCAGAUGCAGGUAGCACUCGCAGUCCCCCUAGCUGUGCCCUCAGCACCUGCUGUCUAGGAGGCAGAAGCCUUGUUCUCGGCCUUGCAGGUGACCCCAGUGUCUCUGAAUUCGGCCCCAUAUGUGUAGGAGGGGAGUGAUUGCAUCUGAAGAUGGGAGUCUGGUUGGGGGUUUGGGAAGCUCCCAUCACCCCUCAAGAGUCCACUGACCAGCCCAGCUCACACCAGGUGGGCCUUGGCACUGGAGGCCACGGCUCAACUCUGCAGUUCCCUCUGGGCAGCAUUUCCAGGGACUCGUAGGUCAGCAUGGUCAUCAAGGACAGGUGGUGAGAGCAGCUCCUCAUUGUCCUGGUGACCCCGAUGGUUCAUUUUCUGGUGUCUCUGUGGUGAGCUCCUGUUACAUCAAGCGAGUGGAAACCACCGAGGACCAACAGCCCUGGAAAUGCACUGAGAAUGCAGGAUGAGUGGGCUUUGUGAGGACUGUUUUCUGUGACUUAGCAAGGAAAGCCUGGAAGGGAAAGUAAAACUGCUUCUUCCCAGGGAAGCCAGAAACCUGAGAACUUAAAAGGGAAGGAGAACUUAAUAUAUUUCAAAAAUGUAACCCUUGUGAAUUAGCAACAGCUUUAUAAACAAAGAGAUUUCCGAGCUUAUAGAAUCUAUUCUGCUUUGUUUCUGCCCCCAUGGCUCCUACCCCUGUUUUUGUGGGUACAAUUUUCAUAUAGAACAUUUUUACACAAGCUUCAAAACUCUCUGAGGACAGCUUUCCCCUUUGUGUCUGUCGGGUCCCAGGCAGUCACAUCCCAGGAAGUGCUGGGGUUGGGCUCCUUGCUCCACAUCCUUCUUCAGUGGCACGAAGCGUGGGGUGGAGUGUGUGAGUCAUGUGUGAUCUUGGUGUGGGCUAUGGCUGGUCUGCAGCACCCCUUCAAUGACUGCUUCAAGGGCUUUUCAUGAUGCUUGUAGCUCAUGAGCUAGUGUUUCCUAGAUGCUGUUUCCAGGUGUCUUGCAUGUCACACACUGGCCUACCAGGGCUGGAGUGAGAUCAUGAGCGCCAGAUUGUUGGUGAAGGAAGUUGACAGAGACAUCGAAUGUCGGUGAACAGGAGUGACCUUGGGUCUCAAUAAAUACUGUGGUCAACUGAAUCCAGAACCCACCCUUACCAGCAGGGCCCACUUCUUCCCCAGCAGGCCGAGCUCUUCCCCUCCUGUCUUCCCUGGCCCUUGCUUUGUAGCUCUGUGUGGCUGUGUCAUGUCUGGUUGUAUCUGUAUAUACUUCUGCCUCUCCCGCUAUCUAGAUGGCUCGGGGAGGCACACCACACACCAGGUCACCUUCCUCUCUGAACCCCCAGCACCUCAUACUGUUUCUGUGCAGAGAUAAGGCUGGGUGAAAGCUUGUGUGAAUGAUCUGAAGUCUUCUACUCUAGGCCAGUCUCCAGGAGCAUUAUGAUCUUUAGGAGGGUGGGCUUGGUUCCUCUGUACAAUAAUGGGUCAUAAAACUGAGUGGUCAAGAUCAUCCCGGUGAGGGCAGUCCGUGUGUUGCCAUAGUUGCUGUACCGGUUAAGAAUGCACCUGGCUGCAAUUUCCUGAAAACCUGACGUAUAGUGGCUUAAACAAAGAGUGGUUUAUUUUCCUUCUGUCAUAGCAAUCUGGGGGAGGCCACUGUGGCUUUGGCGCAGGAGGUCGGGAAAGGCCCGCUUCUCUGAUAUCAUUGGGGGCCUCCCCAGUGCUUGUGUGGCAGAAUGACAAGAGGAAGAAGAAGGAGAAUUAUGGCACUGAGUAUCAUGAGAUUUGGGGUCAUAUAUCUUUAGUGGGCGGUGUUUGCUGCCCCAAAUGUCUCAUGCCAUUAAAAUGUUCUGGAAAUGAUUUAGGUAGUUGGAGUUUCCUUCCCAAAGACAAGGCAUUUACAGCAUGAUGUCCAAUAUCCAUUGAGUUUGUGUCAUGCAUUCAUUGUAUUCAUAGUCUGCUUUAGGUACUUAGCAAAAUAUUGCUGAUAUUAACAUGCCUUUGUUUGCUUCACUGGAGAUGAAAUUGUGCUCCAAGUGUUUUCCAAGGUUCCGUAUGACCCAUCAUUUGAUGAAACAAGAACAGCAGUCAGAUCCAUUACAAAGAGAGACACACAAAAAAACUAUGUGAAAAUGAGCUUAGCCCCUGGUGUUGUGUUGGAACUUCAGAUGCUUGCAGACACUUCAUGAAUGCUCUGUGACACUCAGAAUAGGCUAUUCCCAACAGAAGAGCUUGAACAAUGCUGCAUUUGCAUCAGGUUCAAAUGAGCGAGAGGAACAUUUGGCUAAAAUAUUUGGAACCAGCAUUGCUUGGAAUUCUCCUAAACCAGAAUAUUUCCUUGGCAGUGUGGACAAAAUUCCUGAUAAAGAGAUGGGGUUUCACUGUGUUAGCCAGGAUGGUCUCGAUCUCCUGACCUCAUGAUCCGCCCGCCUCGGCCUCCCAAAGUGCUGGGAUUACAGGCGUGAACCACCAUGCCCGGCCCAGAAUGUCCUUUCUUUUCGAAGCGGAGUAAUAUUCCAUUAUCACCUUUCAGAGGAGAAGAAUUUUAAAGAAUCCUGUCUGUUCGACAGGGAUUUAAGAGAGCAGUUAACUACUAUAGAUAAAGAAACACUUCAAGGAGCAGCUAAACCAGAUGCUCACUUUAGGACUAUGCCCUGCGGGCAGCUUCUGCACUUCCUGCAGAGGAACACCAUCAUCGCCGCCGUCUCAGGGGUGGCCAUCCUCAUGGCCAUCGUGCUGUUGCUGCUUGGGUUGGCCUCAUACAUCAGGAAGAAACAGCCAUCAUCUCCUCUGGCAAACACGACAUAUAAUAUUUUUAUAAUGGAUGGAAAGACAUGGUGGCACAAUUCUGAAGAAAAAAAUUUCACAAAACUUGCAAAAAAACAGAAACAGUUGAAGAGCAGCUCCUGUGUCUAAGCCAGGUCGUGGGGCCGUCAAACCAGGACUUGAAACCACAAUGCGAGGACAUUCUCCAUCUGCGCACCACAGGGAGGCAAUUCCAUUUCUGCCCGGGAGGUGUAUUCUACAAAAACGUCUGCUUCCCAUCCCAAUUUGAAUGGACCAAGAAAAACUGCUUUACCAUAGGACACUUGUGGCAAUAUGGCACCGAUGGCUGGCGUCGGUGAACCCGACAGACUAUGGAUUUAUCAUUUAAUAAAGCAUUGAUUCAUUUUUUCAGUCAUUCAUUGAACAGAUAUUAAUAGACCACCUCACAUGCUGACAAUAUCAAAAUACAAUGAGGAAACUAACAGUGACCCAGGCAUGCAUUCUUCCCCGAGCAAGAUCACAGUCCAUGGUGUGAGCACAACCAUACUAAAUAGCUUUUAUGGGAGGUGGGAGUACAGAAAGUAUUAUAUCUGCAAAGAAACUGCUAAGAAUUGUGGGAGCGCCCCAGGAGGUGAUUUCCUGCUUGCGUGACCAGCACAAAGAAAUGGGGUAAUUGAGAGUGUCAUGAAGUGGGGUUAUUUAUUUAUUGAGUC
This 6865-nucleotide long non-coding RNA is filed under the name Homo sapiens (human). RNAcentral's name for it is "HSALNT0036147". The record is from RNAcentral. Lineage: Eukaryota; Metazoa; Chordata; Mammalia; Primates; Hominidae.